GACGAACGCUGGCGGCGUGCUUAACACAUGCAAGUCGAACGAUGACGACCGAGCUUGCUCGGUCUGAUUAGUGGCGAACGGGUGAGUAACACGUGAGCAACCUGCCCUUCACUCUGGGAUAACCUCGGGAAAUCGGGGCUAAUACCGGAUAUGAGCUCCUGUCGCAUGGCGGGUGUUGGAAAGUUUGUCGGUGCAGGAUGGGCUCGCGGCCUAUCAGUUUGUUGGUGAGGUAGUGGCUCACCAAGGCGAUGACGGGUAGCCGGCCUGAGAACGCGACCAGCCACACUGGGACUGAGACACGGACCAGACUCCAACGGGAGGCAGCAGUGGGGAAUAUUGCACAGUGGGCGAAAGCCUGAUGCAGCGACGCCGCGUGAGGGAUGACGGCCUUCGGGUUGUAAACCUCUUUCAGCAGGGAAGAAGCGAAAGUGACGGUACCUGCAGAAGAAGCGCCGGCUAACUACGUG
RNAcentral lists this ribosomal RNA (467 nucleotides) under uncultured bacterium. RNAcentral's name for it is "partial 16S ribosomal RNA". It matches the Rfam family "Bacterial small subunit ribosomal RNA", at positions 28 to 507 of the family's 1533-position model. The record is from RNAcentral.